Molecule: ribosomal RNA, 594 nt
Filed under: Aspergillus candidus
Lineage: Eukaryota; Fungi; Ascomycota; Eurotiomycetes; Eurotiales; Aspergillaceae
Description: partial large subunit ribosomal RNA
Rfam family: Eukaryotic large subunit ribosomal RNA
Source: RNAcentral
CUACCCGUUUGGAAUUAAGCAUAUCAAUAAGCGGAGGAAAAGAAACCAACCGGGAUUGCCUCAGUAACGGCGAGUGAAGCGGCAAGAGCUCAAAUUUGAAAGCUGGCUCCUUCGGGGUCCGCAUUGUAAUUUGCAGAGGAUGCUUCGGGUGCGGCCCCUGUCUAAGUGCCCUGGAACGGGCCGUCAGAGAGGGUGAGAAUCCCGUCUGGGAUGGGGUGUCCGCGCCCGUGUGAAGCUCCUUCGACGAGUCGAGUUGUUUGGGAAUGCAGCUCUAAAUGGGUGGUAAAUUUCAUCUAAAGCUAAAUAUUGGCCGGAGACCGAUAGCGCACAAGUAGAGUGAUCGAAAGAUGAAAAGCACUUUGAAAAGAGAGUUAAACAGCACGUGAAAUUGUUGAAAGGGAAGCGCUUGCGACCAGACUCGCCCGCGGGGUUCAGCCGGCAUUCGUGCCGGUGUACUUCCCCGUGGGCGGGCCAGCGUCGGUUUGGGCGGCCGGUCAGCGGCUCCCGGAAUGUAGCGCCUCUCGGGGCGCCUUAUAGCCGGGGGUGCAGUGCGGCCAGCCUGGACCGAGGAACGCGCUUCGGCCACGGACGGGU